Molecule: long non-coding RNA, 443 nt
Filed under: Struthio camelus australis
Lineage: Eukaryota; Metazoa; Chordata; Aves; Struthioniformes; Struthionidae
Description: lncRNA (ENSSCUG00000003261.1)
Source: RNAcentral
CAGGAAGUGAGGAAAAAGUCCAUCCUUCUCCUUUACUGGAUGAUACAAGUGGAGAAAAGCUGCCAUGAACCUUGCUUUUCCUGUGUGAAAGGAGUUGAAUCAAUCAAAGACCUGCCAGGAGGAAGGAAAGAAGACAACCUCUUCUGAAUGGGAAAGAAAUCUACCUCAAUGUAUCUUUUAAAAUCAGCUGAACUGGAGCCUAACCUAAUUGACUGUUCGAUGGUCUAUGGAGCUACUCUGCCUAUGGCUACUGUUCCUGCCCUCAUGACUGGGAAGCAAUCAAGUAUCUGCUGACACACUUACAACACAAACAGUGCUCUUCUUUUGAAAGUUCACAAAUGUGUCUUCAAAAAAGUUUGAGAUACUAUUCUGGCAUGGACUAUGGAAUGAAGACGAGUGUGCCACAUACUACAGGGCACAAGUCAGUUCAAGUGGCGGCUGAG